AGCAUUUUAUCUUUUGUGAUGGGGAUGAUAGAAGUUUAACGAAAUGAAUGUGAUAGUGUCUUGAUCUGAAGAUAGAUAAUAUUGCCCAAAACAUGCUAAACAUAAAAAAAAAAAAAAAAAAAAAAAAAAAAAAAAAAAAAAAAAAAAAAAAAAAAAAAAAAAAAAAAAAAAAAAAAAAAAAAAAAAAAAAAAAAAAAAAAAAAAAAAAAAAAAAAUUUUCUGUACAUUAAGAUGCACAUCAGUCUCAAACUAUUUAAAAUACAAAAACAGUGUGUACGCAAUGAAAAAAA
RNAcentral lists this long non-coding RNA (290 nucleotides) under Mytilus galloprovincialis (Mediterranean mussel). The record is from RNAcentral. Lineage: Eukaryota; Metazoa; Mollusca; Bivalvia; Mytilida; Mytilidae.